RNAcentral lists this ribosomal RNA (253 nucleotides) under uncultured bacterium. RNAcentral describes it as "partial 16S ribosomal RNA". It matches the Rfam family "Bacterial small subunit ribosomal RNA", at positions 524 to 776 of the family's 1533-position model. The record is from RNAcentral.
UACAGAGGUCUCGAGCGUUAGGCGGAAUCACUGGGCUUAAAGCGUGUGUAGGUGGAUGCCUAAGUACCUUGUGAAAUCCCACGGCUUAACCGUGGAACUGCUUGGUAUACUGGGUGUCUUGAGUCACUCAGGGGCGAGCGGAACAAAUGGUGGAGCGGUGAAAUGCGUAGAUAUCAUUUGGAACGCCAAUGGUGAAAGCAGCUCGCUGGGGGUGCACUGACGCUGAGACACGAAAGCCAGGGGAGCGAACGGG